CCUACGGGAGGCAGCAGUGAGGAAUAUUGGUCAAUGGGCGCAAGCCUGAACCAGCCAUGCCGCGUGCAGGAAGAAUGCCCUACGGGUUGUAAACUGCUUUUAUUUGGGAAUAAACCUUUCUACGUGUAGAAAGCUGAAGGUACCAAUUGAAUAAGCACCGGCUAACUCCGUGCCAGCAGCCGCGGUAAUACGGAGGGUGCAAGCGUUAUCCGGAAUCAUUGGGUUUAAAGGGUCCGCAGGCGGACCUAUAAGUCAGUGGUGAAAGCCUACAGCUUAACUGUGGAACUGCCAUUGGAACUGUAGGUCUUGAAUUCGGUCGAAGUGGGCGGAAUGUGUAGUGUAGCGGUGAAAUGCAUAGAUAUUACACAGAACACCGAUAGCGAAGGCAGCUCACUAGGCCUGGAUUGACGCUCAGGGACGAAAGCGUGGGGAUCAAACAGGAUUAGAUACCCUGGUAGUCCACGCCGUAAACUAUGAUUACUCGUUUUCGGCGAUAUACAGUCGGAGACUAAGCGAAAGUGAUAAGUAAUCCACCUGGGGAGUACGAUCGCAAGGUUGAAACUCAAAUGAAUUGACGGCGNGAGAGAGACGACGGACGACGACGAGGGAGGAGG
This 614-nucleotide ribosomal RNA is filed under the name uncultured bacterium. Its description in RNAcentral is "bacterial SSU rRNA". It matches the Rfam family "Bacterial small subunit ribosomal RNA", at positions 338 to 957 of the family's 1533-position model. The record is from RNAcentral.